RNAcentral lists this ribosomal RNA (916 nucleotides) under uncultured archaeon. RNAcentral describes it as "bacterial SSU rRNA". It matches the Rfam family "Archaeal small subunit ribosomal RNA", at positions 29 to 922 of the family's 1478-position model. The record is from RNAcentral.
ACAAUGGGGAAGGGACUAGCGUGCGAGUUGUGCGCCUUCGAGCCAUGGUGGAGGCGCAGCAUACGGCUCAGUAACACGUGGCUAAUCUACCCUUGGGACGGGAACAACCCCGGGAAACUGGGGCUAAUUCCCGAUGGGUGAGGAGGCCUGGAAUGGUUCCUCGCCGAAAGGGCUCUGAAACCAUGCUUUUCAGCGUUGCCCAAGGAUGGGCCGCGGCCGAUCAGGUUGUUGGUGGGGUAAUGGCUCACCAAGCCUUUGACCGGUACGGGCCGUGAAAGCGGGAGCCCGGAGAUGGGCACUGAGACAAGGGCCCAGGCCCUACGGGGUGCAGCAGGCGCGAAAACUCCGCAAUGCGCGAAAGCGUGACGGGGCUAUCCCGAGUGCCGUCCGCUGAGGAUGGCUUUUCCACGGUGUAAGGAGCCGUGGGAAUAAGGAGAGGGCAAGUCUGGUGUCAGCCGCCGCGGUAAAACCAGCUCUCCGGGUGGUAGGGAUGAUUAUUGGGCCUAAAGCGUCCGUAGCCGGCCUAACAAGUCUCUCGUUAAAUCCAACGAUUCAAUCGCUGGACUGCGGGAGAUACUGUCAGGCUAGGAGGCGGGAAAGGCCGACGGUACUCUUGGGGUAGGGGUGAAAUCCUAUAAUCCCAGGAGGACCACCAGUGGCGAAGGCUGUCGGCUGGCACGCGCUCGACGGUGAGGGACGAAAGCUGGGGGAGCGAACCGGAUUAGAUACCCGGGUAGUCCCAGCUGUAAACGAUGCGGGCUAGGUGUUGGGGUGGCUACGUGCCACUUCAGUGCCGCAGGGAAGCCAUUAAGCCCGCCGCCUGGGGGAGUACGGCCGCAAGGCUGAAACUUAAAGGAAUUGGCGGGGGAGCACCACAAGGUGUGAAGCUUGCGGUUUAAUUGGAUUCAACGCCGGG